Molecule: unclassified non-coding RNA, 233 nt
Filed under: plant metagenome
Description: partial contains small subunit ribosomal RNA, internal transcribed spacer 1, and 5.8S ribosomal RNA
Source: RNAcentral
GCUCCGUAGGUGAACCUGCGGAGGGAUCAUUACAGAGUUCAUGCCCUCACGGGUAGAUCUCCCACCCUUGUGUAUUCAUACUUUUGUUGCUUUGGCAGGCCGUCGGGCUUCGGCCUGGCCACCGGCUCUAGAGCGGGUGCGUGCCUGCCAGAGGAUCUCCAAACUCUGGUUAUCAGUGUCGUCUGAGUAUUAUACAAUCGUUAAAACUUUCAACAACGGAUCUCUUGGUUCUG